Molecule: small nucleolar RNA, 103 nt
Organism: Benincasa hispida (wax gourd)
Lineage: Eukaryota; Viridiplantae; Streptophyta; Magnoliopsida; Cucurbitales; Cucurbitaceae
Source: RefSeq, a predicted model, not a curated record
AGUCCAUGGUUCGGGCAAUUUUUUGCCAAACCCUUAAAACGCUUCCAUACGGCGCUUAAGGUCUCAGCUUCUUAUGGUUCAAAGUUCAUAAUCUCUUGACGCC